GUAUAUAAUUUAAUCCUAUUUGAUUUGUCAAACAUUCAAGCGUAAACAUCAGCAUCGGUCCUGGUUUGCACCGGGAGCCCCGCUGUGCAUAUGUGAUGAUGGUCAGUGUGAGGAAGAGCUUACCCCCGAAGAGACAAACCCCAGCCAAACAACAACCACACCAAACUGAUUUGCAAUGAUCCUUCCGCAGGUUCACCUACGGAAA
RNAcentral lists this unclassified non-coding RNA (205 nucleotides) under uncultured fungus. RNAcentral's name for it is "sequence contains ITS1". The record is from RNAcentral. Lineage: Eukaryota; Fungi.